AACGAACGCUGGCGGCAGGCCUAACACAUGCAAGUCGAGCGCCCGGAUUUAUCCGGGAGCGGCGCACGGGUGAGUAACGCGUGGGAACAUGCCCUGAAGUACGGAACAACCUGGGGAAACCUUGGCUAAUACCGUAUACGCCCUGAGGGGGAAAGAUUUAUCGCUUUGGGAUUGGCCCGCGUUGGGUUAGCUGGUUGGUGUGGUAACGGCGCACCAAGGCGACGAUCAAUAACUGGUCUGAGAGGAUGACCAGUCACACUGGGACUGAGACACGGCCCAGACUCCUACGGGAGGCAGCAGUGGGGAAUAUUGGACAAUGGGCGAAAGCCUGAUCCAGCCAUGCCGCGUGAGUGAAGAAGGCCUUCGGGUUGUAAAGCUCUUUCAGCGGGGACGAUGAUGACGGUACCCGCAGAAGAAGCCCCGGCUAACUUCGUGCCAGCAGCCGCGGUAA
RNAcentral lists this ribosomal RNA (451 nucleotides) under uncultured bacterium. Its description in RNAcentral is "partial 16S ribosomal RNA". It matches the Rfam family "Bacterial small subunit ribosomal RNA", at positions 29 to 523 of the family's 1533-position model. The record is from RNAcentral.